CUUGAAUUUUGUUGAUAAUAACUUGCAAACCAAUAAUUUAGCUUAUUCUAUACAGCUUUUGAAAAUUAUUACGCGAGGUAGUCCAUUAUAACUGGGGAGAAAGCAUUAUACAUAACGUAACAACCUUGUAUAAAGUGUAUAAAAGGUGCUUAUACACAAUUAUGAGCAUAAUCGGGUAACAAACUCAAAGUAUGACUACGUAGUGUAAAUAUUUCUCCCAGUAGACAGAGAGUGUAAGUUUCCCAAAAAACGUAAUAUGUAGAGUUAAUGGUCAAAAUCACCUGAAUUAUGCCAAUUAUUAGUUGUUCCCUUUUUUUACCUGAACCAUCACCGUCUAUGUAAUUAAACACACUUUGAAGCUGACUAGGCCAACUAUCAGUUAGUUCCGUUUUCCUACUGGACUAUCACCAUCUAAUCAACUAGGUGCGUUUUAAUACAAAGAUGGUGAUAAUUCAGAUAGGAGAAGGGACAAUGGUGAUAGUUCAGGAAGGAAAAGGGAACAACUUAUAGUUGGGCUGUGAAACUUGCAAAAAAGUGAUAGUUGAGAUGGAAGUGUUGAGUGCUAGAGGUGAUCUGAUGCAUAGCUGCAAGCCUACUUCUCCUAAUGUAAAGCGGUUGAAGUUUGUAUCAUGCAGUUUCAAAUCCCACUUAUAAUACCUGGGCUACCAUUCAAUAUUUUUGUGAUGGAAGGAUGAAAAAUAUGUUUCGCUUUGUUUUUUUUUUCUCUUUCCCUUGUAAGAGCCUGUUUGGAUGGGCUUAUGACUUUCGACUUAUAAGCCAAAAGCCAUAAGUUAGAAAUGCUAGCUUGUGGCUUAUUUUUGUCAUUUUGGCUUAAAAACAAGUGCUUAAAAGCACUUUUUUAUUUUACCCAUACACUACAAAAAUGCUUAAAAGCACCUAAAAUAAGCCAAUCCAAUCAGGCUCUAACU
This is a long non-coding RNA of Lycium ferocissimum, 929 nucleotides long. RefSeq lists it as uncharacterized. The record is from RefSeq and is a predicted model, not a curated record. Lineage: Eukaryota; Viridiplantae; Streptophyta; Magnoliopsida; Solanales; Solanaceae. The transcript has 2 exons.